Molecule: transfer RNA, 77 nt
Filed under: Gammaproteobacteria bacterium
Lineage: Bacteria; Pseudomonadati; Pseudomonadota; Gammaproteobacteria
Also listed under: 1 other name
Description: tRNA-Ile
Rfam family: tRNA
About the family: Transfer RNA (tRNA) molecules are approximately 80 nucleotides in length. Their secondary structure includes four short double-helical elements and three loops (D, anti-codon, and T loops).
Source: RNAcentral
GUAUUCAGAGUUUUUUUGAUAACAACAAGGGACUAAUAAUCCCUUGGUCCAAGGUUCAAAUCCUGGUGGGCCCACCA